AAGUCGUAACAAGGUUUCCGUAGGUGAACCUGCGGAAGGAUCAUUAACACGUAUCCAACGUUAAACCCGCUGCUCCUCUCGACGUCAGCAAUCCUGGUAAAUCAGUGGCGAAAGUAGUCUUUGAUUCAGGACCUCUGAAGUUGUAAGCAGGCAGUUUGAGCCUUCUAUCGCCAGUCUGGAGUCCUGGCCGGGCGGAUGAAAGUGUCGCUAGACGGUUUCUAGGGUAAGGCUUCUCCAUCGCCGGUGUAUCACACGCCGAAGCGGACAGACUGCAGGGUGUAGUGCCCCUUUACGACGACCAAGUUAAAUUAGGCCUCUACCACAUAGCAAGUGCGCCGUGGUAGAGGAAAACGUACAACUGUUAACAAUGGAUAUCUUGGUUCUC
This 385-nucleotide unclassified non-coding RNA is filed under the name fungal sp. Its description in RNAcentral is "partial internal transcribed spacer region". The stretch from base 1 to 46 matches the Rfam family "Eukaryotic small subunit ribosomal RNA", at positions 1786 to 1831 of the family's 1831-position model. Lineage: Eukaryota; Fungi. The record is from RNAcentral.